GUAUAUCUAAGUGUAUUCCAAAGUGGAUUUGAGCAUUUUUUUAAAAUAAAAAAUUAAAAUUGUUAAGUUAAACAAAACAAAAAAUCCUUAACCCUUUCAACUUUCAUCUUCUUCCUCAGCUUGUUUCUUAGAAAACCACACAUCUACUCUGUUUCUUAGAAAACCACACAUCUACUCUGUUUCUUAGAAAACCACACAUCUACUCAUCUAAUUUCUUGUUUUGAUUGUUUAUUCCAAAUUUUAGUUGAACUUUUUACCACAAUCUCAAUAUGCACACUUUUUCUUUUCACGACUCUCUUCCUAUACACCCUCCCCAACACUCACCCCCACCCUCACAAUGUUCACUCCUUCAUAAACCCACUACUCGCCACCACCACAUUGACCACAUUAUUUUCCACAUGUCAGACAAAACCAUCGAUGACGACUUCCACUUCACUGAGUUUUGGUUCUGUUUUGAGUUUAGAUGCAAUUGAACUUGAUUCAGAAAUAUCACUCGAUAGGUUUUUCGACUGAGUUUCUUUUAGUCUUCGACGAUGGGCGUGUUACCAAAUGUUUCUCGAUCAUGUGACGCAAUUUCAAACAUGUGAUGCUCGUCAAUGUGAAAACUGGAAUUGAAACAUUGAUUACUGUAGAUGUGAAAAUCAAUUUGAAACAUGUGGUGGGGUUGUCAACAUACAUUGUUAUUUUGUAGGAGGGGAUCAGGUGGAUGGGGGAGAAAAAGGAAGGAGAAGAUGGAUGAUAUUAUUUGUAUCCAACAAUUUUUCUUAACAAUUUUCUGAUUUUAUAAGAAAUGGGAUGAGGAAGAAGAAGAAAGAUGAAGGAGUUAAUAACUCUUUGUUUUUUCCAAACAACUUCCUGG
This 859-nucleotide long non-coding RNA is filed under the name Cicer arietinum (chickpea). Its description in RNAcentral is "long non-coding RNA (CARI_LNC002438)". The record is from RNAcentral. Lineage: Eukaryota; Viridiplantae; Streptophyta; Magnoliopsida; Fabales; Fabaceae.